Molecule: ribosomal RNA, 497 nt
Filed under: uncultured bacterium
Lineage: Bacteria
Description: partial 16S ribosomal RNA
Rfam family: Bacterial small subunit ribosomal RNA
Source: RNAcentral
GAUGAACGCUGGCGGCGUGCCUAAUACAUGCAAGUCGAGCGAACAGACGAGGAGCUUGCUCCUCUGACGUUAGCGGCGGACGGGUGAGUAACACGUGGAUAACCUACCUAUAAGACUGGGAUAACUUCGGGAAACCGGAGCUAAUACCGGAUAAUAUAUUGAACCGCAUGGUUCAAUAGUGAAAUACGGUUUUGCUGUCACUUAUAGAUGUAUCCGCGCCGCAUUAGCUAGUUGGUAAGGUAACGGCUUACCAAGGCAACGAUGCGUAGCCGACCUGAGAGGGGGAUCGGCCACACUGGAACUGAGACACGGUCCAGACUCCGACGGGAGGCAGCGGUAGGGAAUCUUCCGAAAUGGGCGAAAGCCUGACGGAGCAACGCCGCGUGAGUGAUGAAGGUCUUCGGAUCGUAAAACUCUGUUAUUAGGGAAGAACAAAUGUGUAAGUAACUAUGCACGUCUUGACGGUACCUAAUCAGAAAGCCACGGCUAACUACGUG